GACAGAGGGGGCAAGCGUUGCUCGGAAUCACUGGGCGUAAAGGGCGCGUAGGCGGGAUGGCAAGUCGGUCGUGAAAUCCUUCGGCUCAACCGAAGAACGUCGGCCGAUACUGCCGUUCUUGAGGGAUGCAGAGGAGAUUGGAAUUCCCGGUGUAGCGGUGAAAUGUGUAGAGAUCGGGAGGAACACCGGUGGCGAAGGCGGGUCUCUGGGCAUCUCCUGACGCUGAGGUGCGAAAGCGUGGGGAGCAAACAGG
RNAcentral lists this ribosomal RNA (253 nucleotides) under uncultured bacterium. RNAcentral's name for it is "partial 16S ribosomal RNA". It matches the Rfam family "Bacterial small subunit ribosomal RNA", at positions 524 to 776 of the family's 1533-position model. The record is from RNAcentral.